Molecule: ribosomal RNA, 208 nt
Filed under: uncultured bacterium
Lineage: Bacteria
Description: partial 16S ribosomal RNA
Rfam family: Bacterial small subunit ribosomal RNA
Source: RNAcentral
CGCGUAGGCGGACUUUCAAGUCGGUUGUGAAAUCUCCAGGCUCAACUUGGAGCUUGCAUCCGAUACUGUUGGUCUUGAGUGUAUCAGAGGAAAGCGGAAUUCCAGGUGUAGCGGUGAAAUGCGUAGAUAUCUGGAAGAACACCAGUAGCGAAGGCGGCUUUCUGGGGUACUACUGACGCUGAAGCGCGAAGGCGUAGGGGAGCAAACA